GCCGUCUCCAUCCACCCCGAAGCUCCUGCCCCAGGCGUCCAGGCGCCUCCCCGCCAGGGCAUGGAAGCUGUGUCCGCCCUGCAGCUCGUGAACCUGACCAGCCUCAAUCGCACCGAGCUGGUGGGGCUCCUGUCCCAGCACUCGUCCGCCAACGAGCAGCCCCUGUACAGCGAGUACAAGCCGCCCGUCCGCGACCUCAUCCCCCUGCCCAAGGCUGUGCUCUACCUCCUCAUGGCGGCCCUGGUGGUGGUGGGCGUCGCCUACGCCAUCGUGGGGCACCUCAUCAAGGACCUGGCCCAUGACCUCGUAGACUGGCUGCUGGGGCCACAGCCCGACAAGGAGAACGACUCGGACACUGCGCCCCCGCCCCCUGCAGUGUUCCACCGUGCGCAGCCCCCCAUGGCUGAGCCCCAUAGCCCCGGCGAGGUGCACAUCAUGCUGCAGGGGGGGGCCCAGCCCACAUAGGGCAGGCCCCCCCCCCCCAGCCAUGGACAGGAGGGGCUGAGCCUGCGGGUGCACCCAGAGACCAGCGAGCUGCGCCGGCCACCAGCCCAACACGCCGCGGAGCCCAGAGGCCCAGCUGGGAUGGACGGUGCCUGAGGGCAGGCAAGGACCCCCCGUGGCCAUCAGGGGGGACAGCUGUUCGCCCCCAGCCCCGUCUCCUCUGCCACUUUGGGGCCUCGCUGACGCCAACGACCCGGCUGGGGGACUGUCAGUGGCUAGUGACCCCCACCAGCGGAGCUUCCUGCUGGCCCUGCAGCUGCACCCCACAGAGGGGCCAGGACCCAGGAGGGCGGGUCUGUGCUCGGGGGGGGGGGGCGUGAGCAAGGCAAGGCCUGGCGAAGGGAAGGGCAGGUGCUGCCUAUGGGCCCCUCUGAGUGGGGGGCACAGCAGGGCCACUUCCCCCCAGCCAGAAGCCCCCCUGCACUCAGGACGGGGGGCACAUGGCUCUGGCCACAGCCCCUGCCCUGAGGCCCCUGUGGGGGAGGGGCCCCUCGGGGCUCAGGCAGCACCAGGGACGGAUCCGUUUGUCAAAUAAAACAUUGACUCUGAA
RNAcentral lists this long non-coding RNA (1054 nucleotides) under Chelonoidis abingdonii (Abingdon island giant tortoise). Its description in RNAcentral is "lncRNA (ENSCABG00000002397.1)". Lineage: Eukaryota; Metazoa; Chordata; Testudines; Testudinidae. The record is from RNAcentral.